RNA transcript from Cucurbita moschata (crookneck pumpkin), 1969 nucleotides. RefSeq lists it as uncharacterized. NCBI's taxonomy places the organism in Eukaryota, Viridiplantae, Streptophyta, Magnoliopsida, Cucurbitales, Cucurbitaceae. The transcript has 6 exons. The record is from RefSeq and is a predicted model, not a curated record.
UUCAUCAUCAUAUUCACAUCUCGUCGUAUUCACCCGCCAUUGAAAUCCCCAAGCUCUGACCUCGUCUCCCCAGCUUCUUAGCCCUAACCCCCAAAAACAGUCUUCAAUUUCCACUCAAAUUCGUCCAGAAAACGGCUCUCGUUUCAGUUUCUCUUCAACGGCAAUCACCUCCAUCUCCAUCCUUGCAGCGAUUCGUAUCUCUCUCUCAGGAUUGGGCCGUUUAAGACAAUAGGGGGCUUUGUUUGGAACAGUGGUGUUUGGGCUCUUCACGGGUUAAAGAUUGGAUAGCGCAAGUGAUAUGUAACAAACAAUACAAAAUCUCAUUUCAGGCUUUUGAAAUAUGGGAUCAGUCUGUUGCGUUGCUGCUAGAGACAAGACUAUUGGUGUUGGAUCUAGUAGCGAAACGCAGCCUAGGAAUGUUCGUCACUCGCCGAGUUGGAGCUUUAGAUGGGAUCAUCCUGGGCGUGUUGUUGGUGAGGAAGUUUCACUGAAUUCGAUUUCAGAUGGACUAAGUAGGAACGAGCGGCCUGAGUUCAAGUAUGAAUCCUCAUAUGCAUCAGACGAGGGUAGUCCAUUGGAUAGACAGACAUGGAAAAACUCCUCAGUAUCUGAAGGAAGCACGACAAAUGUGAGGACGCCUAUAUCAGGUUGUUCAAUUUCAAGAAAUAUUUUCACGGAUGUUAGUUUGGAACAGGUGAAGAAAGCUACAGAAUAUCCGACGACAUCUACAUCUCCUGCAAAAGUAUCCCUUUCAAUCCCUUCAAUUUCAUCUUUUUCAACAUCCCCUCUAUCAACCCACAGCCAUCUGCCUUCUGCCGGUUUGACAUCAUCAAGAUUGUCUCACUGUUCUCCCGGAGACCGUUUAUUACGUCAAGUAUCUGGCAACCGUAUCCCAGCGUACAAGUCACCGGGUAGCUACAUAGUUUCAGAGGACAGGCGUAAAAUCCCUGGGAGCAAUGAUUCAUUGCGGGGCUCACAUGGUGGAUCUUCUGAUGGUUGGUCUAUGAAUGCUUUCUCUGAGCUCAUGGCAACUUCACAUAGGGGAAGAUGGUCCUUUGGUAGUGAAUCCUUCGACUUUGCUCGUGAGAAGAUGGUUAGAUCCUGCAGCUUAUUCUCAACUUCGCCUUCAACUGAUGCACAAACAUGCGGAAUUUGCUCAAUGUUGUUGGUUGAGAGAUCCUUAUGGACCAGCCAAAAGAUAAUUGCUAACAAUGAGCUGUCUGUCGUUGCCGUACUAACUUGUGGACAUGUUUAUCAUGCCGAGUGUUUGGAGAAUAUGACACCUGAAAUUAGCAAGUAUGAUCCAGCCUGCCCAAUAUGUUCAUUUGGUGAAAAGCAGACACUAAGGAUGUCUGAAAAGGCACUUAGAGGUGAAUUGGAAUUGAAAAUUAGAAACAAGAGGUUAAGGAAUCGCAUUGCAGAUAGCGGUCUUGAUGGUGAAUCUAACAUGUUUGAUCAUUUUAUAAAUGGUGGACAACAAGAGAAGUGUCCUAAGCUGUCCUCUAGCUCCAGUUUGAGAGGUUCUUCAGGGAAGGGUUUCUUGAGGCGUCACUUCUCCUUUGGCUCAAAGGGGGGAGGGACUAAAGCUCUGCCAGAAAGUAACAACACAGCGAAGAGAAAGGGAUUGUUAUGGUCAAGAUCUACUAAGAUGUAACAUUUUCUGUUGCUUAUGGGAGACUGCCUGACCGUGGGUGGCUGUCGUUUUUGCGCUGCAACUAGCAAGGAAAUAUCAGCCAGAGAAUGAGCAGCGGUACUAGGGUGAUGAGCUUGAUGAGCUUGGGGGCGGAGGAGUCUGAGGUGUCGAGUUUGUGUAUAUAGCUUACUUCCCCAGUUUGUUUACACUCCUACAAUUUAGCUAGAAUGCCAACACAAUCAAGAUAGAGAUGAUUGUUAAAUGUUUUGGAUUUGGAUUGGUUUCAUCACAGAAGCUGACACCUAUCAUAUAAAUGUCUAACGUGGCAACCCAAAA